GGAGGAAGCAGGGGAUCGUAAGACCUUGCGCUUUUGGAGUGGCCGAUGCCUGAUUAGCUAGUUGGUGGGGUAAGGGCCUACCAAGGCAACGAUCAGUAGUUGGUCUGAGAGGACGACCAGCCACACUGGGACUGAGACACGGCCCAGACUCCUACGGGAGGCAGCAGUGGGGAAUUUUGGACAAUGGGCGAAAGCCUGAUCCAGCAAUGCCGCGUGAGUGAAGAAGGCCUUCGGGUUGUAAAGCUCUUUCAGUCGAGAAGAAAAGGUUGUGACUAAUAAUCACAACUUAUGACGGUACCGACAGAAGAAGCACCGGCUAACUACGUGCCAGCAGCCGCGGUAAUACGUAGGGUGCGAGCGUUAAUCGGAAUUACUGGGCGUAAAGGGCGCGCAGGCGGCUUUGUAAGUCAGAUGUGAAAUCCCCGGGCUUAACCUGGGAAUUGCGUUUGAAACUACAAAGCUAGA
This 465-nucleotide ribosomal RNA is filed under the name uncultured ammonia-oxidizing beta proteobacterium. RNAcentral describes it as "bacterial SSU rRNA". It matches the Rfam family "Bacterial small subunit ribosomal RNA", at positions 199 to 645 of the family's 1533-position model. Lineage: Bacteria; Pseudomonadati; Pseudomonadota; Betaproteobacteria. The record is from RNAcentral.